UGCCUUUGGGGGGCAUCUAAC
RNAcentral lists this non-coding RNA (21 nucleotides) under Rattus norvegicus (Norway rat). The record is from RNAcentral. Lineage: Eukaryota; Metazoa; Chordata; Mammalia; Rodentia; Muridae.